Molecule: long non-coding RNA, 368 nt
Filed under: Hordeum vulgare
Lineage: Eukaryota; Viridiplantae; Streptophyta; Magnoliopsida; Poales; Poaceae
Description: long non-coding RNA (HVUL_LNC015286)
Source: RNAcentral
GUCUGAAGAAAGCCAUCACAUGCAUGUGCCACACAUAUGUACGUAAGUGUUGUGUUGCGUUUGAAUUAAUUAAUAUAUAUAGCUAAUAUGCAACUUUGAUGGCACAUGCUUUGUAACGGAAAAGCCCCCUCCCCCACAAGAGCGAGGGUUCAUGGCGCGUAUAGCUAGUCCGUCGAGCGCGGAUGUGAACGAUUCACGCGUACGUAUCCCUGCGCUCAGACUUUGGUAAUUAAGUAGGAAACUCAUUGACCUAAUAUAUAUAUACCAUAACACAAACCAAGAAGCAUCCACCAUGGUAAGCAUUCUCUCGUUGUCAGUCAAUGUGAUGCACAUGCACGCGAUCCCAUGAAUGGCUUCCCAUUGACAAC